This 614-nucleotide long non-coding RNA is filed under the name Mus spicilegus (steppe mouse). Its description in RNAcentral is "lncRNA (ENSMSIG00000003270.1)". The record is from RNAcentral. Lineage: Eukaryota; Metazoa; Chordata; Mammalia; Rodentia; Muridae.
CUGAAGGUCAGAAACUUGGGCAUUGCCUAUGUGACUACUGACCAUGCUUCUCUUGUGGGAGCUGUGGGGAGUGGGCGGUAACUUAGGCAGGGGCCAGAGUUCCAGGAGCAUGAGGGAAUGCCUACCGUGUCAUGAAGGUGAAUUAUGACUAUCGGGGUUCAGACCUUAGCUCAACUGGAGACCAGCCUGCAAUUCCCCACAACAAGUCUUGCAGCUUGUGAGAGGAGAUGUACUUUGCUCAGCCCACAAUUAAUUAUUGAAGUCCAAGGCCUAGUGAAGUUGUAUGGUAAUGUUUGCAUUCUCUCGCAUGACUUCAGUUACUGCCUAGUUUUGUGGAACAAACUCAGUCCUACCUCCAAAGCACCAGAGAUGUAAAGCCAACUGCUAUUGAAUGUCUCCAACGUUCUACCACAUUUUGGACACCAGGCAGCCAUGGAAGAACCAAGCUCUUUAGCACUGUGCAAACAUUUUUUUCCUUUUCUUUCCAGGUUAGUUAGCACCACUGCUACUCAGUUGCUCAAGGCAGAGCCUGUUUUGUUUUUUGGUUUUUGUUUUUGUUUUUUUUUUUUCUUGCAUUCCACCGCACCUCUUAAUUCAUUUGAACUCUGUAACUU